ACCUGAAAUCAGGCGGGACUACCCGCUGAACUUAAGCAUAUCAAUAAGCGGAGGAAAAGAAAAUAACAAUGAUUCCCCUAGUAACGGCGAGUGAAGAGGGAAAAGCUCAAGUUUGGAAGCUUCGUGGCAUAGCUACGACGCGUUGUAAACUGAAGUUUUUUGGGUGAUUGGGCGACCGGAUAAAUAAGUCCUUUGGAAAGGGGCAACAUAGAGGGUGACAUUCCCGUCUUUGGUCCGAGUCAGUGCAGUCGCUGCCCAGGAAACGACGAGUCAGGUUGUUUGGGAAUGCAGCCUAAAAUGGGAGGUAAAUCUCUCCUAAAGCUAAAUACUGGCGUAAGNNNNNUNGNGNNCAAGUNCCGUGAGGGAAAGAUGAAAAGG
This 378-nucleotide ribosomal RNA is filed under the name Gongronella sp. C_1_BESC_137g. RNAcentral's name for it is "partial 28S ribosomal RNA". It matches the Rfam family "Eukaryotic large subunit ribosomal RNA", at positions 1 to 372 of the family's 3401-position model. The record is from RNAcentral. Lineage: Eukaryota; Fungi; Mucoromycota; Mucoromycetes; Mucorales; Cunninghamellaceae.